This 289-nucleotide long non-coding RNA is filed under the name Elaeis guineensis (African oil palm). RNAcentral's name for it is "long non-coding RNA (EGUI_LNC031858)". The record is from RNAcentral. Lineage: Eukaryota; Viridiplantae; Streptophyta; Magnoliopsida; Arecales; Arecaceae.
ACAGAGUUUGAUUUCUUUCUUUACAGCCAUGCUGGUAUAAAGGUAAUAUUUUUUUAUAUUUUUUGUCUCAUUAUUUUAUUUUUCUAGGUUAGGAGAGGCUAAUCUCCACUUUUUCUACCCUAUAAUGAUGAGUGGCAACUGAUGAACUGGUUUUUAUAAGUAAUCUUUUUGGUUUUAAGUAUUUGCAUAAUCUAGUUUUAUCUAAUUUUUAAAAUAAUUUUUAUUAAUUUAUCUAUAUUUUGUUUUCAUUCAAGGGACCAACAGACUAAUACAUUAUCAUGUAUUAUUG